CGCAGAGCUACGUAUCUGUAAGAACGCUAAACGCAUACGAAACGAAGACAUCUCUCCGGAACGGUUGCCGAGCGAAAUUCAUAUAUAUUUACAUUUAGAUUAUUUAUUACUGGACGGGCGUUGGAUAAAGAAACACGAAUUUUUGUGCCAUCGUUCGUCGUUUUAAGAUAAUAAAAUAAAAUAAAGAACAUUUUGAUAACUUUUGGAUUGUAUAGUACAGAAAGAGUUGUUUCAUCUCUUAGCUUUAUAAUCAAGGAUUCAAAGGCGUUCGAGUGAAGAAUAGAAUAAGAGACGCCAGAGGCAUUUUAGAAUUUGACGCCUCAGAGAGUUCCGACUUUUCCUUUGUCAAAAUAUUCUCAUAUAGUGUAAGAUAAGUUGACAAGUUUUGUUCAGUUUUGUUUAGAACAGAAUAGUUCUUUAGCUCCGGCUUCCAAAAUGAUUUGUAGUCAUUUUUUUUUCAACAAAAUUCAAUUGUUUUGACGAGUUCAAAGGAACCAAUCAAAAUAUUUACAAAAUAUCUAUUAAAAGUAGUAUUCUAUUCUUUAAUUAUUUAUACUAAUAAAGUAUUUUUAUUCAAUUUUUAUAUACAAAAACAUAAAAUAAACUGUAAACUAAAAAAGCAUAAAAAAGAGUAAAUAUAGUUAUUAAAAACGGUGCAAACUAAUCUCUAAUUAAGUGACAAGCAAUCUUUAAGUAUUCUAUUUGAAAUAAAGAAAUACUAUUAAUGAUAAUAGGAAGCCCUCAGGGAUAAUUUGAAGUGCCCUUCGACAAAUAAGUCAGAAUAGGAGGUUCUUUCUCUUCUCUUCGAAAUUAGUUUUAUUAGUCUUAAUUAUAUUUUUAUUUUUUUGAGCAAAACUGUAGUUUUAACAUUUCUGCGUAGAAAAAGAGAAAAAAAAAACCAAUUAAAAAAUCUAUUCGAAUAAGAGAGUAGGAAGUGAAAUGACAAGAGGUAGUAUCAGGAAGGAAGAUAGUAAGGGAGAGGAGAUAGUGUGAGUCGUCGUGUAGUGAUGCGUUGAACAAGUAAAAAGCCUUUUUUGUUAUAUUUAUAUCUAAUUUUUUUACGUAUUGUUUGGAAACAGGCUAUAGAAAAAAGGAUACAGCUACAUUUUUCCAGUUAUAUAUCAGAAUACACGAUUAUUAUGCAAACUUCGACUGAAUCCGUCGAACGAUCAUCAAUAAAUCUCAUCAUCCCCAUAUCGACUCAGACAACUGGCACUAAUCGACGGGAGGAAGAGCCAAGCGCCCUCUACAGUCCCGCUGUCCCAAAUUUAAUUAUACUAACCGUAGUCCUUCUCUCGGUUCUCUUAGCUGUUGCUAUAGGCCUGAUUCGGCGAAGAUUAAAGAAGUUUAAGACAGAAAUCGACUCGUCCUUUCUAGAUCGAUACCGGCAUAUUUACGAACCAUUGGCUGCUGGACCGGCCGAUGAAUAUGAUAAUACUUUCGUGGGUGUAUCCGUUCCACUGUUACAAGAUAAUACAAAGAUUUAAUAUCUAAUUUAUAAAGGACAACUACAGACAUGUAAUGAAGGAGGAGAUAUAUUUAUAUAUUCCAGUAUAUACUGUAUAAACUAUAUUUUUAUCUUACACAAUUGAAAAACAUCUUUGUACUGUGUUCUUUUUUCUAAGAAAGUAUGAAUUUAAAUCAAAUUUUUUCCAUAUUUCAUGGUCCAAACUGUUUCUUAAAAUACGUACACUCUGGCUAAUUGCAAAAAACGCACAGAAACCAGGAGGGAGAAGAAGUGAGAGAGAGAGAGAGAGAGAGAGAGAGAGAGAAAGAGAAGGAACAAAAACUGAGAAGAAGCAUUUGUUAUGUAACAGAUUUUUGCUUUGGAAAUGAAAAAUUUAUUGAAUAAAAGAAAACAAUAAAAAACUAAUACUGAAAGGUAAAUAAUCACCAUAAGUUGAAUAAUAAAUAUUAAUUGGCGAAAUUA
This 1930-nucleotide unclassified non-coding RNA is filed under the name Dimorphilus gyrociliatus. RNAcentral describes it as "hypothetical protein". Lineage: Eukaryota; Metazoa; Annelida; Polychaeta; Dinophilidae. The record is from RNAcentral.